UAGAAGAUGCCUCAAGCCAAAAGGAGGAAGGAGAGGUGGCAUCUCCAGACCUGGCCAAGGCAAACCUCAGGUGAAUCUACAGAUGGGUUGAGGGUGUUUUAGUAUGGACAUGUGGAGAUUGAAGACACGGGGAGGAGAGACUGUGCCCCAUGAGUCAUUUAUACCAUCAAAGCUCCUCCCAUGAAAUCUCUGGGAACACCUCUUGCAAGCUCCAUGUGCUGAGGUGGGCCCCAAACACUGUCCAGUUCACCACCCCCUUAACCUCAAUUAGAUACCUCUCUAAGUUUCCCUAGGAGCCAUUUAACUGUCCAGGUCAUUCCUCAUGCCCCUGCUCCUGUGUGUCCUCAAUAAAAUGUCAGGCACCCCUCCUUCAGCCCUCUGCUUGUCCCUCAUCAGCAUUCCUGCAGUAUAGUAAUUAAGAUAGAGAAUGUCCAGUGCACAGAUACACUCCACAGUGCUACAGGAAAUGGGACUCAAUACUAAGGUGGUCUGGGGUGCCAAAGUGCUUUAGGAGGUUGGGAGCAUUCCACACAAAGGGGCUUCUUUUCCCUGAAACUAGACAACUGCUUUUGGUCAGCGUGUGCUUUUCUGUCCCCAGGGAGCUUUAAGGGAGGGCACCAGAGCCCUCUGACCUCAGUGUGACUUCUGGCCUUCUGCUCCCAGCCUCCUCUCCUUCUAUCUCCUGUCCUUUCCUCUCUACAUUCUACUGGGUCUGCCCUAUCUAUGGGAAGGCUCUUUUUGAACAUGAGGAAUAUCAAGAUCACAAGGCUCUUAGAGGAUGGCCCCAUCCAUAUUGGAUGAAAAAUGCUUUCAGAAUGCUAGGAAGGUUAGGUGGGACUGGGUUGGAACUGAGUGACUUUGUGUUAAGCUCUUAUCUUUUUAACCCUUCCUUCCCCCAUUCUGCAUUCACACCUCAGGGUGUGUGAAGACCCACCCCCACUGAAAGGGCCAGAUGUCAUCAUGCCUAUCCUCAAGGAUGAUGGGUCCUACAUGCUCUGUGGAUUUUGGGCAGAUGAUGAUGCUGAAGCUCCAAUCUGGGCCUGUGUUGGGGCCUGGCAUCCUACAAUCCAGCAGCCCAUCUGCUGUACUGAGGCCAUUGUGGUGGAAAACCCCUACCACCAAAAGGAGGAAGUGGAGUUGGCAUCUACAGACCAGGCCAAGGCUAUCCCCAUGGUGUGUGGAGACCCACCCCCACUGGAAGGGCCAGAUGCCAUCGUGCCUGUCCUCAAGGAUGACAGAUCCUACCUGCUCUGUGGAUACUGGGCUGAUGAGCCUGAAGCACCAGCCCAGGCCUGGGCUAGGGCCUGGCACUUUACAACCCAGCAACCCCUCUGCUGUGCUGAGGCCAUUGUGGUGGAAGACUCCUCAAACAAAAAGGAGAAAGUCAAGGGGGCAUCCUCAGAUCAGGCUGAGGCUAUGUCCAGGGUGGGUGAAGAUCCACCCCCACUGGAAGGGCCAGAUGUCAUCACACCUAUCCUCAAGGAUGAUGGGUCCUACAUGCUCUGUGGAUUUUGGGCAGAUGAUCCUGAAGCACCAGUCCAGGCCUGUGCUGAGCCCUGGUACCUUACAACCCAGAAGCCCAUUUGCUGUGCUGAAGCCAUUGCGGUGGAAGAGCCCUCCUGCAAAAAGGAGGAAGGGGACUCGGCAUCUGCAGAGCAGGCCGAGGCUAUACCCAUGGUGUGUGGAGACCCACCCCCACUGGAAGGGCCAGAUGCCAUCGUGCCUAUCCUCAAGGAUGACGGAUCCUACCUGCUCUGUGGAUACUGGGCUGAUGAGCCUGAAGCACCAGUCCAGGCCUGGGCUGGAGCCUGGCACUUUACAACCCAGCAGCCCAUCUUCUGUGCUGAGGACACUUUGGUGGAAGAGCCCUCAUUUCAAGAGGAGGAAGGUGUGGUGGCACCUGCAGACCAGGCCGAGGCUAAUCAGAGCCUCUGCUCUGCAUCACACCUCAGGGUGUGUGAAGAUCCACCCCCACUGGAAGGGCCAGAUGUCAUUGUGCCUAUUCUCAAGGAUGAUGGAUCCUACAUGCUCUGUGCAGUUUGGAUGGAUGAUCCUGAAGUGCCGGUCCAGGCCUGGGCUAGGGCCUGGCACCCUACAACCCAGCAACCCAUCUGCUGUGCUGAGGCCAUUGUGGUGAAAGAUGCCACCUACCAAAAAGAGAAAGUCAUGUUGGCAACUGCUGAUUGGGCUGAGGCUACCUCCAGGGUGGGUGGAGAUCCACCACCACUGGAAAGGCCAGAUGCCAUUGUGCCCAUCCUCAAGGAUGAUGGAUCCUACAUGCUCUGUGCAUAUUGGGCUGAUGAGCCUGAAGCCCCAGUCCAGGCCUGGGCUGGGGCCCUGCACCCUACAGCCCAGCAGCCCAUCUGCUGUGCGGAGGCCAUUGUGGUUUCCCUCCUUGCAGUGGAAGAUGCCUCCAGCCAGAAGGAGAAAAUAGAGGUGGCAUCUGCAGAGCAGACUGCAGUGGAAGAGCCCUCAUCACAAGAGGAGGAAGGGAAGGUGGCACGUGCAGACCAGGCUGAGGCUAAUCAGAGGGUGUGUGGAGAUCCACCCCCACUGGAAGGGCCAGAUGCCAUUGUGCCUAUCCUCAAGGAUGACGGAUCCUACCUGCUCUGUGGAUACUGGGCUGAUGAGCCUGAAGCACCAGCCCAGGUCUGGGCUGAGGCCUGGCAUGCAAAAACCCAGCAGCCCAUCUGCUGUGCUGAGGCUUUUUGGGUGAGUCCUUAGAUGUGAAUCUUGCUGCAGACCUGUCAAAGUGCCCGAGUGGACUCCUAUGACCCAGGCCUGCUUGCUGUUACUCCCCAGGGAAAGGUGGUGAUGUGGCAGGCUGUCCCCUGGGCUAUAUCUGGAUGGACAGAGGCAGAACCCAUGGUGGAGUUUGCAGCACAGUUGUAGUGUGGCUGGUGUGUCUUAGCCUCAUAGUCCCAGGAUAUGCCCCCCUUUCUGACACUGACACUGGCCUUGUUGUGCCUGAAGCACAUG
This 2979-nucleotide long non-coding RNA is filed under the name Oryctolagus cuniculus (rabbit). RNAcentral describes it as "lncRNA (ENSOCUG00000035069.1)". The record is from RNAcentral. Lineage: Eukaryota; Metazoa; Chordata; Mammalia; Lagomorpha; Leporidae.